CGUGCUUACACAUGCAAGUCGAGCGGAAAGGCCCUUCGGGGUACUCGAGCGGCGAACGGGUGAGUAACACGUGAGUAACCUGCCCCUGACUCUGGGAUAAGCCUGGGAAACCGGGUCUAAUACCGGAUAUGACACUCCUCCGCAUGGUGUGGGUGUGGAAAGUUUUUUCGGUUGGGGAUGGACUCGCGGCCUAUCAGCUUGUUGGUGGGGUGAUGGCCUACCAAGGCGACGACGGGUAGCCGGCCUGAGAGGGCGACCGGCCACACUGGGACUGAGACACGGCCCAGACUCCUACGGGAGGCAGCAGUGGGGAAUAUUGCGCAAUGGGCGGAAGCCUGACGCAGCGACGCCGCGUGGGGGAUGACGGCCUUCGGGUUGUAAACCUCUUUCAGCAGGGACGAAGUUGACGUGUACCUGUAGAAGAAGCGCCGGCUAACUACGUGCCAGCAGCCGCGGUAAUACGUAGGGCGCGAGCGUUGUCCGGAAUUAUUGGGCGUAAAGAGCUCGUAGGUGGCUUGUUGCGUCUGCCGUGAAAGCCCGUGGCUUAACUACGGGUCUGCGGUGGAUACGGGCAGGCUAGAGGCUGGUAGGGGCAAGCGGAAUUCCUGGUGUAGCGGUGAAAUGCGCAGAUAUCAGGAGGAACACCGGUGGCGAAGGCGGCUUGCUGGGCCAGUUCUGACGCUGAGGAGCGAAAGCUG
RNAcentral lists this ribosomal RNA (698 nucleotides) under Microbispora sp. VE39. RNAcentral's name for it is "bacterial SSU rRNA". It matches the Rfam family "Bacterial small subunit ribosomal RNA", at positions 43 to 762 of the family's 1533-position model. The record is from RNAcentral. Lineage: Bacteria; Bacillati; Actinomycetota; Actinomycetes; Streptosporangiales; Streptosporangiaceae.